GCUAAUACCGCAUAUUCUCUGAGGAGGAAAGUAGGGGAUCGAAAGACCUUAUGCUUUUGGAGCGGCCGAUGUCUGAUUAGCUAGUUGGUAAGGUAAUGGCUUACCAAGGCGACGAUCAGUAGUUGGUCUGAGAGGACGACCAGCCACACUGGGACUGAGACACGGCCCAGACUCCUACGGGAGGCAGCAGUGGGGAAUUUUGGACAAUGGGCGCAAGCCUGAUCCAGCAAUGCCGCGUGAGUGAAGAAGGCCUUCGGGUUGUAAAGCUCUUUCAGUUGAAAAGAAAAAGCCGUGACUAAUAAUCAUGGUUCAUGACGGUAUCAACAGAAGAAGCACCGGCUAACUACGUGCCAGCAGCCGCGGUAAUACGUAGGGUGCAAGCGUUAAUCGGAAUUACUGGG
This 401-nucleotide ribosomal RNA is filed under the name uncultured bacterium. RNAcentral's name for it is "bacterial SSU rRNA". It matches the Rfam family "Bacterial small subunit ribosomal RNA", at positions 162 to 558 of the family's 1533-position model. The record is from RNAcentral.